Molecule: ribosomal RNA, 328 nt
Filed under: uncultured eukaryote
Lineage: Eukaryota
Description: partial 18S ribosomal RNA
Rfam family: Eukaryotic small subunit ribosomal RNA
Source: RNAcentral
CCCUUAGAUGUUCUGGGCUGCACGCGCGCUACACUGAUGCGCUCAACGAGUUUAUGAACUUGCCCGGAAGGGUUGGUUAAUCUUUUUAAAACGCAUCGUGAUGGGGAUAGAUUAUUGCAAUUAUUAAUCUUCAACGAGGAAUUCCUAGUAAGCGCGAGUCAUCAGCUCGUGCUGAAUACGUCCCUGCCCUUUGUACACACCGCCCGUCGCUCCUACCGAUUGAGUGGUCCGGUGAGGCUUUGGGAUCUGAGCGGAAAGAGCGUUUCGCUGUUUCUGCUCGGAAAACUCAGUCGAACCUUAUCAUUUAGAGGAAGGAGAAGUCGUAACA